RNAcentral lists this ribosomal RNA (364 nucleotides) under Escherichia coli. Its description in RNAcentral is "bacterial LSU rRNA". It matches the Rfam family "Bacterial large subunit ribosomal RNA", at positions 1 to 392 of the family's 2925-position model. Lineage: Bacteria; Pseudomonadati; Pseudomonadota; Gammaproteobacteria; Enterobacterales; Enterobacteriaceae. RNAcentral also lists the same sequence under 2 other names. The record is from RNAcentral.
GGGUUGUGAGGUUAAGCGACUAAGCGUACACGGUGGAUGCCCUGGCAGUCAGAGGCGAUGAAGGACGUGCUAAUCUGCGAUAAGCGUCGGUAAGGUGAUAUGAACCGUUAUAACCGGCGAUUUCCGAAUGGGGAAACCCAGUGUGAUUCGUCACACUAUCAUUAACUGAAUCCAUAGGUUAAUGAGGCGAACCGGGGGAACUGAAACAUCUAAGUACCCCGAGGAAAAGAAAUCAACCGAGAUUCCCCCAGUAGCGGCGAGCGAACGGGGAGGAGCCCAGAGCCUGAAUCAGUGUGUGUGUUAGUGGAAGCGUCUGGAAAGGCGCGCGAUACAGGGUGACAGCCCCGUACACAAAAAUGCACAU